This 66-nucleotide transfer RNA is filed under the name Allantus luctifer. RNAcentral's name for it is "tRNA-Pro". Lineage: Eukaryota; Metazoa; Arthropoda; Insecta; Hymenoptera; Tenthredinidae. The record is from RNAcentral.
CAGAAAAUAGUUUAUAAAAAUAAUAAUUUUGGAGAUUAAAGAUAUAAUUUGAAAUUUUUUUUGUGA